This 73-nucleotide transfer RNA is filed under the name Actinomycetota bacterium. RNAcentral's name for it is "Actinobacteria bacterium tRNA-Lys". It matches the Rfam family "tRNA". Rfam says of the family: Transfer RNA (tRNA) molecules are approximately 80 nucleotides in length. Lineage: Bacteria; Bacillati; Actinomycetota. The record is from RNAcentral.
GCGCCUCUAGCUCAAUUGGCAGCGCAUCGGACGCUUAAUCCGCAGGUUCUGGGUUCAAGUCCCAGGGGGCGCA